AUCUCACUUCGUGAGAAUUCUGAGGCGGAGAGGGUUCCGACUGCCUUAGGAUUGAGACAGACUCCUGUUAAUCUGAUAAAGGCUAUUCAAUUUGUCAUCUCAUCUGCUAUUGUCUGGAUACUUGGUGAGUCGAGAAAAUUAGUACAAAAAUGUCGGGAUUUUAGAAGACUUGCUAUACAAGAAUCGACUAAUGCUAAACGCAAUGGAGGCUUCCGUAAUUAUCUGCUGGUGCAAUUAGUUUCAACAAGGAUAACGCUGGAUCCGAGAUGCGUUACGCCAGUACGGGACUUUUACAAAUGGUUGUUGGUUCUUUCAUUACUGAAUGCAUAUAAGAAUCUACUGCAAGCUGCUCUGAAGGAGGAACCUGACCAGAUAAGUUAUUUCAGGAAUCUAUUAUUCCUGUAAACCCAAGCUUGUUUGCUCUUCCCGAACAGAUCAGAAAGUUUCUUCAGAAAAUACAGCCCGGAAGAGCCCAAGGAAUUGAAUUUAACAUGUGCGUGUAAAGUGUCUCCAGUUCUAGUGCGUGUAAAGUGUCUCCAGUUCUAGUGCGUGUAAAGUGUCUCCAUUUUUAGUGCGUGUAAAGUGUCUCCAGUUCUAGUGCGUGUAAAGUGUCUCCAGUUCUAGUGCGUGUAAAGUGUCUCCAGUUCUAGUGCGUGUAAAGUGUCUCCAGUUCUAGUGCGUGUAAAGUGUCUCCAGUUCUAGUGCGUGUAAAGUGUCUCCAGUUCUAGUGCGUGUAAAGUGUCUCCAGUUCUAGUGCGUGUAAAGUGUCUCCAGUUCUAGUGCGUGUAAAGUGUCUCCAGUUCUAGUGCGUGUAAAGUGUCUCCAGUUCUAGUGCGUGUAAAGUGUCUCCAGUUCUAGUGCGUGUAAAGUGUCUCCAGUUCUAGUGCGUGUAAAGUGUCUCCAGUUCUAGUGCGUGUAAAGUGUCUCCAGUUCUAGUGCGUGUAAAGUGUCUCCAGUUCUAGUGCGUGUAAAGUGUCUCCAGUUCUAGUGCGUGUAAAGUGUCUCCAGUUCUAGUGCGUGUAAAGUGUCUCCAGUUCUAGUGCGUGUAAAGUGUCUCCAGUUCUAGUGCGUGUAAAGUGUCUCCAGUUCUAGUGCGUGUAAAGUGUCUCCAGUUCUAGUGCGUGUAAAGUGUCUCCAGUUCUAGUGCGUGUAAAGUGUCUCCAGUUCUAGUGCGUGUAAAGUGUCUCCAGUUCUAGUGCGUGUAAAGUGUCUCCAGUUCUAGUGCGUGUAAAGUGUCUCCAGUUCUAGUGCGUGUAAAGUGUCUCCAGUUCUAGUGCGUGUAAAGUGUCUCCAGUUCUAGUGCGUGUAAAGUGUCUCCAGUUCUAGUGCGUGUAAAGCGUCUCCAGUUCUAGUGCGUGUAAAGCGUCUCCAGUUCUAGUGCGUGUAAAGCGUCUCCAGUUCUAGUGCGUGUAAAGCGUCUCCAGUUCUAGUGCGUGUAAAGCGUCUCCAGUUCUAGUGCGUGUAAAGCGUCUCCAGUUCUAGUGCGUGUAAAGUGUCUCCAGUUCUAGUGCGUGUAAAGUGUCUCCAGUUCUAGUGCGUGUAAAGUGUCUCCAGUUCUAGUGCGUGUAAAGUGUCUCCAGUUCUAGUGCGUGUAAAGUGUUCUAAAUGGCGCCAUUUAAAACGAGAUAUCUAUAAAUGUAAAUGUGUAAUCUCAGUUUUAUGUAUUUAAC
Molecule: long non-coding RNA, 1670 nt
Organism: Argiope bruennichi
Lineage: Eukaryota; Metazoa; Arthropoda; Arachnida; Araneae; Araneidae
Exons: 4
Source: RefSeq, a predicted model, not a curated record